UUGGUGCAGCUGUUGCCGCUCGCGCGCUGCCCGCCUGGGUCAGCGUUCCAUCGCCAGCUGUCCGAAGGGGCGAAAUUCACACUCUCACUCUCUCUCUCUCUCUCACACACACAUACAUAUACACUGUAUUCAGAGAUCCACGCCCCCUCCCACGAGGCGGGAGAGUGCGCGUGCGCGUCCCUCGGGGUCCGCGGGAGGCAGGCGAGUGAGGCAAAGAAGUGGGCGCGCGGCGUUGGCAGCACGCGCGCUUUGGGCUGCUGCUGCUGCUGCCGCCUCCUGACUGACUCAGGAGGAGGAAGAGGAGGAAGAAGAGAAGUUGCCAGCGAUGCCCAGCUGAGGAGAAGCCGGCCAGAGUGCAACAGGCAGCCAAUCAAGGGGUGGAAACCAUCACGUUUGGCAACGUUCACGGUAAGGUGACUGGUGCAUUAUACUAAAAGUGCUGAGGAGUGUCCCGAUUUCAGGCUUGGAGUGACUCAACUGAGAAGUAUGAUUUUGACAUCCCCUCCAAGCUUGCAAUCUUCUUUUGAUUUCCUUUUUCUGUUUGAUUUUUCUCCUUCAAACUGAAAUGAUAGAAACUUUGUCAAAGAAGAGCAUUGACUCAAAACAUAAUUUAAGAUGAUUUGAACAAGAACUUGUUUUUUGUUUUGUUUUUUCAUUUUGUGAUGCUGGCUGUUUUUUGGUUCGGGUUAUUUGGGGGAGGGGGGUUUGUAUUUCAAAAGUAUAUUUUCCCAAUUCUGUGCCAUACUUAUACAUUAACAGGACUUUGUUGGGAUUAAACCUAUUGAACCUUUGCAAAUAUGCUGUACUAGUAUUAUCUACUGAGCUGUUUCCACGUGGUUUGAGCAGCAUUUGGAGCCUAGAAGAACUUUCUUUAAAGCAGUUCUCCAAGAUCAAGCCAAGGACCCAUUCAAUCUACCAUCCUGCUUCAAAAAGUGGCCAGUGAAUUCCUUCUAGAGAAAACGACAGUUUGGGCAUGAGAAAAUGUAGGCUGGUGAACUGUGGGCUAGCUAGACAAUGCUGUUAGUAGAGUCAUUGUUGCUUGACUGAUAAAACUCAAAAAAUGCUCAUUGAUGGUUACUCUUCGUCCUGGAGAGAAGUGAAUAAUGUCAGAAUUAGUGUCAUACAUGAUCUUCAUAAAUUACUUGAAUGAUGCAAUAGAAAGCAUGCUUAUCAAAUUUCAUACAAUAUCAAAUUAGGAGUAUGGAUAGACAAAAUGAACAAAAUAAUAAAUAUGAGGUGCAACAUAUAGGCAGGAAUAAUGAAAUAUACAAAUAUAAAGUGAAAGAUACCUGGCUUAAAAACAGUACAUGUAAAAGGAAUUUCAGGAGUUUUGUAGCCCACUGACUUAAACAUGAAUCAAUAGUGUGAUGUGUAGCCAAUAAAUCCCAACACAGUUCUAGGUUGCAUCAACAGGAAUGAAGUGUCCAAAUUAAGGGAAAUAGUAGUCCCACUCUAUUCUGUUUUUGUCAGAGUCCACUGGAGUACCCAACCUAGUUCUGAGGAGGCAGGUGAGGAUGGAGAUUGACAAGCUGGGACGUCAAGGGUAACCAAAGUGGUCAAAGUCUAGAAACCAAGCCAUUUGAAAAAAAAUCCUUGAGAAGUAGGAUGUGUUUAACUUAGAGAAGACUGGGAAGUGACAUGGUAACCAUAGCAAAUAUUAUGUAGUAGAUGAGGUGAACAUAUUUUCAUCUAAAGGACAAAUGUCUUGAGUGUAAAAAGUAUUUGAAAGUGAAAUAGACUGUCUUAGAGUGUGAUGGACUCUCCUUUAUGCAGGUCUUUAAGAAGAAGUUAGAUGUAUAUCUUUUUGGAAUUGUUUAGAUAUAUAUUCCUGCAUGGCCCAGAGCUGGACUAGAUGACUCUUGCCACCCAUUUCAGCUUUAGGAUUCUAUGAUUCUAACUACAGCUCUUGUCACUGGUCAUACUUAGCAGAAAGAUACAAUGUGACCGCAUUUAUUUUAUUUUGAUUUAUUUUAAUGAGGUUUUUAGACUUUAUUGUUUUAAUUGUUUAAUUAGCUUGUUAUAUAUCUGCAUUUUUAAAUAUGUUUUUAUUUGGUUAUCUCUGUUAUUAUUAGGCAUGGUCCUGCUUGUAAGCCUCCCCGAGUUCCUUCAGGGAGAUGUGGUGGGAUAUAAAAAUGAAGUUGUUGUUAUUGUUAUUAUUAUUACUAUUACUAGUAGAUUCCAUUUGACUUGAAUGUCAUAAUAAUAGUGACCACAUCCAUUGUCUUUUUUUAAAGCUGUUCAAGCAGAUGGACAUUAUUACAUCUUCACAGAAUUAUAGAGUUGGAAGGGAUCUUAUGGAUCACCUAGUCCAACUCUCUGUUCAGUGCCACAUUUCCAGCUAAAGCAAGUAGUUGUCCAGCCUCUUUUUGAAGACAUACAGAAGUAACCACACCAUCUCUCUAGGCAACUGGUUUCAUUGCCAGACUGCUCUUCCUGUCAAGAAGUCCCUUGUAGUAUUGAAAUGCUGCUGUGAUAACAAAUUCUAUAUGCUGGUUAAGCAUAUUGGAAUAAGCAUCUCCUCUGAUCUGGCCUAGAUUUUCUGCUUAUUAGUUUAAUUGUCUCACUACAUUGUUGGUUUGUUGUUGGGUUGUUUGUUUGUUGUGUUUACAUUGCUCCUUUUUCAAAUAAAUUCAAGGGUCUUGACUGCAUAGUUCACUUGACUUGAUAAGCUAGGGAGUUGGUGGGAAUGACACUGGCUGAGAAAGUACAGCUACGUCAAUCCUACUUGCAAUAGAAGUGGCUAAGUGAACCAAGGGGGUUUGAUCCCAAGGGGGAUCUGAUUAUACAGGGGCGGGAACUGUGUUACUGUCCAGAAGUUAGUUAAUUGACACUUUCAGCUGUUAUAGCCAGUAUUGCCAGUGGCAAGCCAUGCUGGGAAUUACAAUUCUGCAAUAUUCAGAGGACUUCCCAUUACAGUUUGCAAUGUUAUCUCAACUUAUGUUCUUUCUCUUUUCUAGCUUGCUUCUCUCCCAAUAGUUUAUUGUGUCAUUGGAAUCCCACACUAUCCUCCACUCUUACUAAAAAGCUAUAUGUAUCACAACCUGUUGUUUAUGAACACUGCACUUUUGGGCUCAAAAGUUUAAAGGAGGAUGUUAAUGGAUUAAUAUAGAAGAGGGUGAGUAAGCAGUGCUUAGAGUCUAAAAAGCUACAAAGCUGUAAAAAUGUGAAGUUGUAUUUAUAUUGCUAUAGAUCUUGUCCUUUCAGGUACUGCAAUUGGACAGGGAUAUGUAUGGGCAAUGGACUCUCUGGCCAUAGGAAAGUGCUUAUAAAAGAAUACACAUUAAUAAAAUUGGCACUCUAAGGGUUAAUGUUAUGCAAAUCUGUCUCUCUCCUGCUCAGAUCAUCUCUCUUUUUCUUUUUCUUUUUCUCUAAUACCACUGAUUUCUUGAAAUGUUUGAGAGGGCACCACAAGAGCCUCUCAUCUAAGCUUCCUGAAAUCCUCCAAGGCAGGAGAUUGCACAACUUCCCUAAGAAACUCAACUCUAAAGAGACUAGAGGCUAAAGAACAUGUCAGGGAGAUUUUUCUAGUUUUCACCCUUGAUCUAACUCUGUCAUGCCCCCUUAAAUUUCCUAGGAACUGUUGCAUACAGUAUUCACACCUAUCCAUUUUUUAGCCCUACCAUACCAAACACACAUGCACACACUUAUUUGCAUCUUAGCUCUCUAGAUCCCAGUGCCUACUCUAAAUUCAGACAGAUCAAACUUCUGCUUUACCUUAACUCCGUUUUUUGCCUGGUUAAUUCCACCUCUCUAGCAUGCAAGUUCCAUUUCUCCAAAACUGACUGGAUCAGACUCUGGACUGUCAUAUUUAAAAGGAACAGAUAUAUUUAUGUUCUGCUCUCACUGAGGAUUACAAUCCUGUGUAUAUAUUUGUUUACUGGAUUUAUUUUACUAGAUGGCAUAUACCUUCGAAUAUUUCUCAGACAAAAGUCGGGAUACAUGUGAUCCAGCAAUUUCAGGAUGUGGUCAAGAUGGAAAAAUGUAUUAGUAAUGGAGAAAAGAUAAGUUAGGAGAGUCUGUAGCAGUUUACUUUACUUUGAGUGCACUGGGAAGAGAAAGAUUCCACCUCUUUGUCUCCUUUCCUUAAAUAAGUUGGGUGGACUUAUUUUCAAGGAUAGGUUCAACCAUCUAGGAACAUUAGAACAGGUCCUGGGUCAGUUUUGAUUUAAAAAGAACAUUUGAAAAUGAAGUACAUCUUAUUAUUACUGGUUCAGACCUUGUAAGUUUUCAUCAAAAAUAAUGUCAUGAUACAA
Molecule: long non-coding RNA, 4253 nt
Filed under: Anolis carolinensis (green anole)
Lineage: Eukaryota; Metazoa; Chordata; Lepidosauria; Squamata; Anolidae
Description: lncRNA (ENSACAG00000038405.1)
Source: RNAcentral